CUGAAGAACAAUACACAUUUGGAUUUGAGAACAAGAAUUUAAUGUUACAAUAUUAUACACUACUUUACAAAAUUUACUAUAAGGAUUACAUUGUAACAUGGAACAAAAACAUAAAAUCACAUUUGAUGGUCCCCUAGAUAAUAGCUGUUAUGCAUCUUUGAUUAUUGUUAAAUGAACAAAAUAAAUUUUAUUCUAAUUAUUGCAGAACAGUCUAUUAGACUCAUUAUAUUAAAUUAAAAAUAGUGAAAAUAUAUGCAAAUUAAGAUUACUGCUUUUGACUGCAUACUAUUAAAUCAAACAUAUAUUAUUUUAAAAAUCCCAGAAACUAGAAAAAUAGAGUGCAUUUGCUGUGGUAGGGAUGUCACUGCUCAGGAAUAGAUAACAAACUUAGUCUUGCUUAUUACCUUUUGCAGUUGUAAAGCUAUAGAAACUGUAAGCAUUUCUAACAGUUUACAGCUGUGCUGAAAAAUAUGGCAUUGUGUAAAUAUCGGUCUGUUUUACAACAUUAAAAUGUAAUAGAUAAGCUAGAAGGUCAUGUGCCCACUAUUGGGAAUAAAAUUAAAAUGGAAAAUUUCAUAAUGCAAAAAAUAAUUACAGGUUGAGCAAAUAAGAACCAUUCCCAUUGUAGGGAUGUUUGAGGUACAAGGAUUUUUCUCCCUAGAAGGAUGUAACUCCCACCCUGGAAGCUUCUUUAACUCCUUAAAGGGUUUCAAAAAUCAAAAUAAUGUGCAAUUCUUAUUUUUAUAGAGAAAUGUCAAUGCAUGAUAAGAUGAAAUGAGUAUUAAGAGGAAAAUAAAAACUCGGUAUAAUUUGAAAGCUACUACACACCAAAUGAAUAAAACCAUAAAUCAUCCAUUGCUAAAAACUUUCACAAAGCUUCCAGUACAAUGGACUUGAAUAGUGAGAACAGAGUCUGACACUGUUUAGGGGUUAGUGUAGGUUUCUUUAGAAAUAAUAUGAAUUUGUUUAAUUUUUCUGAUCCAACUCAAAACAGCAGCUCUAUUCUCAGAUAAAACCUAUUUAUUCCUUGUAUCAAGGCAAUUCAGUUAAACUUAAGUACAACUCAUGCUCAUAUAAAUCUUUACUAUUAAUUUGUUAAUCAAACCUAGGCCAACAUUGUAAACACAUUUAUAUUCCAUUAAAAUAAAAAGUUUCUGCUGGGUAUUAAUAAAAGGAAAUAUCCAUUUACUAGUGAGUUGUUACUCCCAAGGAAAGAUGAAUUUGUGAAAAAUCACU
This 1236-nucleotide long non-coding RNA is filed under the name Sarcophilus harrisii (Tasmanian devil). RNAcentral's name for it is "lncRNA (ENSSHAG00000024431.1)". Lineage: Eukaryota; Metazoa; Chordata; Mammalia; Dasyuromorphia; Dasyuridae. The record is from RNAcentral.